GCCCAUAGCUCAGUUGGUAGAGCAUAAGACUCUUAAUCUCAGGGUUGUGGGUUCAAGUCCCACGUGGGGCA
Molecule: non-coding RNA, 71 nt
Organism: Podarcis lilfordi (Lilford's wall lizard)
Lineage: Eukaryota; Metazoa; Chordata; Lepidosauria; Squamata; Lacertidae
Source: the annotation of a GenBank genome assembly